GUGCUCACUUGACAGCACAUAUACUAAAAUUGGAACAAUACAGAGAUUAGCAUCUCCUCUAUGCAAGGAUGACACGCAAAUUCAUGAAGAGUUCCAUAUUUUG
Molecule: small nuclear RNA, 103 nt
Organism: Saimiri boliviensis boliviensis (Bolivian squirrel monkey)
Lineage: Eukaryota; Metazoa; Chordata; Mammalia; Primates; Cebidae
Source: RefSeq, a predicted model, not a curated record